UCAUCGCUAGGGAGCCUGGUUUCAGGGAGAAAACUGAGUGCCCCACCAAAAGUGCACCAUUUUGCCUCCUCCUCCGCAACAUGAAGGUGUGGCUUGACACCAGACCCUUCAACAAGUCUCCUGCUGCUGGUGCCCCGCCCUGCCCCCCGGCCAUUUUCUCCAGAGCAUAGCUACAAGACAUGCUUCUGAAAGGAGAGCAGAAAAAAUUAAAAUUGUCUCUAGUGCUGAACUGACAGCACUGGCAUGGAGCCUGCCACAGGAAAAGGAGUGGGGACCCCAGCCCAGGUGACAUGGUUGAACCAAGUGGAAGGGGGCCCAGAUGAGCCCAGAAAAUCCAAGCCAAAAGGAACGCAUCAGAAUGUCUGGAAAAAGGGGCAGCUACCCACGGGAUUGCCCCCAGGGCAGCACAGCAGCAAAAACAGUGGUGCAAGAACCUGCAUAGAACUGAGCGCAACAGAACAGUGGUGUGACUGGGAUGACAUCCUGACUGUGAGGACUUAGGCAUUUAUCUCCUAACAUGAAAUAUUUAAUAGUUCCUUUAUAGAAGAGUGUACAGAUGAACAACAUCUAUAUGUAGCAACAUAUUGAAUUUUUGGUUUUUAUGGCAGCAGAAAUUCAGUUUUCCUAACUGAGAAGGCAUUGCAAGGGUAAGAAGUGACAUUUUGUUGUAGGUCAGGAUAGUGUUGUUUUCUCUAUAGUGAAAUAGUGCUGUGCUGUGCUACUAUACAAUCUUAGCUAGAGCUAUUUGCCUUUUUUCAGGUUUACAGUGGAUGACAUUUAAUGACACAUUGUCAGGUUACAUCACAUUAUUGUCAAAAUUAGAGCUUUUAUGCUCCCUGCCUCAGGAGGAAUAUCUCCAUGGCAUUUCAGAAGUGUACGACAGAAUGAGCAACAAUGGGCAGAAAAGAACAGGGCAAGUUCUCAGUCACAUUAAAAUAAGGAAAUGCUCAAGAGCUGAGGCCAUGCUACAGAGACAAAAUAUAAUGACAUUAUAUGUCAAAGUGUCCUGUCUAUUUCUGCUACCACAAGCUUGGAGUUCAUAAACCUUAGGGUGACUUGAGUUCAAGAAAUAUUCCUGUAUAAGAACACCUAGAUAACUUCCACAAUAGACUGAGAAUAAUUUUUCUGUUUCUUGUCUCAUACAAUGCAUAAAUGUUCUGUUGAUUAACAGGGUUCAUUUCCACAAAUUGAUGUUCACAUCACAAUCUUAAAUUAGGAUAUUUAAUAACACCUUACUAUUAUACAGAUAGACCUGCUUAAAGCUAAUGAAGGGUUUUCCCUGAGAAGUUCAGCCUUUCAUUUGCUUUUGAAUGGCAGAAUUAUUUUAAAACUUAAAAGAUUUUGCGCAUAAAAUGUAUUUCUUCAGUUUGAAGUCAGACCUGAAAGCAGGUUGUUCCGUUGGCAUGACCAUAAACUUGUCUGAUUUGCCUCCCCGCUCUGGAUAGAUAAAUAAAAAAAUUACAAUCUUCUCCUGUUACUUGUUAAAAAAAGCAGGUCAAAGUCCUCGUAUUGAUACUGUGCUCCUUUGUCUUUUUUCUUCUUUCUUGUCCUGAAACCUUUUGGCUUCUAGAAAAGAAAAAACAAAGUAAAAAAAAUAAAUUUUAAAGGUAGUUAAAUAAUAAGAGGAGCUUUAUUUAGAAAUUAUAUUAUUUAAUCUAUCAUAUAGUUCUGUCCCUGCUCACUGCAAGGGGAUUGUACUAGAUGUGUGGUAAAGUAGUCAUGCAGUAGGGAAGGGAUACAAUCCAGAGGGACACCGAUAGACUUGUGAGUCAGGUCUCUGAGAAAGUUCUUUCAUGAAGCUUAAGAAAGCCAAGUGCAAGGUACUGCACCAUGAUCAGGACAAUUGCAAACAUAAUACAGGCUGGGCAAAGCUGCCCUGAAGAGAAGGACAUGACCCAGGCAUGGGCACUCCCAGCCCAGAAAGCCAAAUGUGUCCUGGGCUGCAUCCAAAGCAGCGUGGGCAGCAGGGGAGGGAGGGGACUCUGCCCCUCUGCUCUGCCCUUGUACCUGGAGUACUGUGUAUAGCUCUGGGUUCCUCAGAAUGAAAAGGACAUGGACCUUCAACUGAGUCCAGGGGAGGGCCAUGAAGAUGAUCUGAGAGCUAGAGCACCUCUCCUGUGAAGAAAAGAUGCAAGACCUGGAGUUGUUCAGACAGAGAAAAAAAGGGUUCAGGAAGACCUUAUAGCAGCCUUCCAGUACCUGAAGGGGGCCUACAAGAAAACCAAAGAGGAAAGGCCCUGGAAGUGUUCAGGGGCCAGGUCAGAUGGGGCUUUGAGCAACCUGAUCUAUUGGCAGGGUGGUUUAAAGCAGAUGACCUUUAAAGGUCCCUCCUAACUCAAACUACUUUAUUAUUCUAUAUAGUUCUGAUAUAUUUCAACCUUACAUUCAACUCUUUAUUAUUUCUUUGGUUUACUUAAAUGGAGAUUUACAGUGCUUUUCUCACACUUUGGUGUGUUAACUGGUAUGUGGUAUUCUGGCAUGGAAUGAAAAUAUCUGUCUGCAUUUCAGUACACCAUUUCAUUAAAAAAAUUAAGUAUUUAAAAUUAGUGUGCCUUUGCUUUGUGGCAGGAGACUUCAAUAGUAAUUUGGCAGAAAAAUCUCUGAUUAUGGUAUUUGGCAGCCCACAUUUCUUUCUCUUCUUUACCCCAUUCCUGCUCUUGAGUUGUCUAGCUUGGACAACUCAUUUGUGGGAUGUGUGGUGCAUAUGUCAAAGUGAUGAGUCAUGUUGUUCAUUUAGUAGCUGUGUUCCCCCUAACUUUGCUGCCCCAGUAAAAUCAGUGUUGUCUUUCUGGAGUCAUGUGUCCAGUACAAAAUGUUUUUGUGAAUGUAGACAACUCUGUGUCAAAGUGAACAUUAAUGUAUCAUUUUCAUUGUUAUUGAUAAGGAUCCUAAGAUGAAGUCUAAAUAUUUAGAUUCCUCUAUUUAAUAUAAGAUAAUAUUUAUUUUGGUUAUUGGUUGGGGUUUUUUUCAGUUAGUAUUUCAUGACAACUAUAAUUUCCAAAAAGUAGUUUAAGAAUCCCUGGGCUCAUCAAAUUCCUCCUUGGCUUUCAAGAUUUUGCUUCCUGGGGCUACAGCGGACUCUCUGAGUGCACUGUACAGUGGAAGUCCUGAGUGACCUAUAUCCUCCUUGAAGAACCAGAAGACUUAAAGUUCCUGGGACAAAGUUUCCUUAUCCUUACUAGGGUGCAUUUAUAGAUUGGAUUCUGUGAAACACACACACACAAAGAAAAUUUUCUGAGAAAUUGGAUCAAAUUGCAAAAUAAUGAAAUAAGUUCCUUGCAAACUAGAAACACCACAUUUAAUCUAAGUCUGUCUUGGAAGACUACUUUAAUGGAUGCAUAAUUCCACUGCUAGAUGAAAUUAAGUAACUUUUUUCUUUUUUUCUAGUAAGUUAUUAUAAAUUGAAGUUAAGGAAAAAUAAUGUUCUUUUAAAUAAUGUUUAAUAUUGACCCUGUCAAACAUUCUAACCCAAUUAUUCUAACAAAAUGUGAAAUGUAUAUGCCAGCAACUCUGACUAAUUGGGCAAAAGUAACCCAUGCAAACAAUUUUGUAAUUUAACUGAGGGCAGUGAUAGUCCAGGUUUAAAAUUAUGGAGUAUUAGAGCAAGAUACCCCUUUCAGAGCAAGUAUGGGAACACCAGCAUUAUUUGAAAAAAAGAAAAAAAACCUGCAUGGAACCUAAUCUUGAAGGUUCUAGCACUUUUUUUAAAUUUAGUCAUUGGGCUGGGCUCCAAGCAAGUAAAAAAAUUAUUAUAAGCUUUGUAAAUUUUGUUCUCAUUUAUACCAUGUAUUGCUCCAAAUUCUGUGCUGAAAGUACAGCAGUCAGUAUGUUAAAAAAUGCAACAUGUACAGGAUGUGAGAUCACUCUCCUUAUGAAAUCUCCACAUGGUCAUGUAAAAAUAAAACACACUUUGAGGCAAUUGAAAUGUUGCAAAUUAUAGAGAAUCAGAGUAACUAUUUAUACAUUUUAAUGAAGUGUGAGACAGCAUUUAAAAGAGAGGUUUUAAAUCCAAAACCCAAAGAAGCACUUCCAUGAUUUAUGGCCUAAAUCCAGUUGGCAUGAGCCAAGCCAAGUAAUUUGGAAGAGUGCUUCCUCUGCCUAAACUGAAAGAAGUACUUCUUGGUCAUACAUAGCUGGAUGUAUUAACCAGUGUGGUCUGACUUGGCUCAGAGGGGGAACUCUCAUUGCCCUGCAGGCAUCUUUGAGAACAUUUUAUUUCCUGGCACCUUGAUGCACCUAGCUAUUGGGGCACACUCAAAGCACACAGUUUAGCUGCUGUGUUAGAAGGAAAUAUCAGGAUACCUGGAUUUUAAUUACAUGCACCACUGCGUGACAGAAACUCUACCCAUAAAGCAUACAUAUUCAAAAAUAACAAGGCUGGAAUAGUCAGCCUAGAUUUAUAAGGGGCAUCAUAUGUAUGACCAACCUUACUGCUAUUGCUUGGUGUGUUUGCUGACAGGUGGAGAGCAGCAGCUAUUUUUUACCUUCACUGUAUCUUUUCAGAAGGGUCUCUCUCAUGCUCACAACCAGGAAGAGGUACAGAUUGAAUGAAUGGACUGCUGGGGAGUUAAAGUGGCAGGUUCAUUAUGCUCAAAGGCUAGUGCUGACAGCUGGAAGGUUGGUUACAAAUGCUGUUGGGCAUUUGACAGGCUGAUACUAAAGCCAACACUGCUUAAUGUCCAUAGCAACUCACAUGGUGGGAUGUAUUUCCUUGGCAAGUUUGCAAAUGAGACUCAUCUGUGCGGAGCAGUUGAUAAACUAGAGAGCAGUGUUGUUAAAGGGACCAACUAAGGUCAAAGGGAACUCGAGACUAUUACCUGAAGAGAAGACAGGAAUUGCAAAAUACAAUAACACUUGAGUCAUGUCCAUCUGAUGAACAAAUUCAAUACAACCAGAUGACAGGUGAAAAGGGAGUUUGAAGAAAAAGUUUUGAGGGUCCUAGUGGACAACAGGUAUUUGUAAAUUGGAAGAUGGGUUAGCAGUCUGUCUUUGCAGUAAUGAAGGCCAAGUGCCAACUAGGUUGCACUGGCUAAGUGUGGGAAGCAGGUUUAAGGAAGUGGCUGUUUGCAUCUAUUCAGUAUUCAUAAACUUCAACUGGAUCAUUAUUCUGAGUUUUGUGCGUCCCUGUUCAAACAAGAUAUUGACAAAUUUUAAGAUGCCCACCAAGGUAAGCAGGGACCUGGAACACAUUUAGUAGGAAAGACUGAGAGUACUGGGCUUGCAGAACAUGUAUAGUGAGAGCCAGGCAUUCCAGGAGGCAUAAGUAUGCAGCAAGGAUGAAAGGCAGCAGGCUGAAAUUACAGGAAGGGGAAAAAAAAAAGAAAAAAUUUCCUCUGCAGCACUUCUAACCUAGGAGAUAUGAAGAUUUGACUGAAAAAAGAUUUUGAUUAACACAAUAAGAACUGCCAGAAGUGCCUUCCAACCAAUGCUUUCUGUGAUUAUGCACUGCAGCACCCUCAAUCACUCCUGGUGCUACAGCCAGUGGCUGUCUGGAUGAACCAAAAUUUUGAUCAUAUCAGCAUUUCCCUAUCUUCAUCUGCUAUAUCCAUCUUACAGACUUCCAUAGCUCAUGUGCUACUACCACUUGUGUGCUACAACUGUCUUCAGCAUUCCAACUGCUCCUACCAGCCAAGGAGGAGGUUUUCACAAACAGAUGGGACCAUAAAUUAUGUAAUUUCAUCCUUUGUCAAUCUCUAUACACAAAUGAACCCAUUACCUGCCCAGCAUAUAAUUGUUCACUUGGGACACUAAUUUCUGAGCAGAUACUUGUACAACUAUGCUAUACAGAAAUUACAGACUUAAAAGAAAAAAGCUCUGAAAAUAGAAUUCUUCAUUUACUUGUAAAUUGUACCUUGAAUUCCAGUUGCAGUAAUUUGCACUUGUCUCUUAGCCUUGACUACUUUUUCUCACCUUCUACUUUUGCUUGAGUGUCAACAGUCACAAAAGUCUAGGUUUUACAUGAUUAGCACAGGCAGCUUGCACUGGAUUAACAUUUUUUAAGGGUGAAGGCUAAGUGUAGAUGUACCUCAGAAACAAAGCCCAAAGCAUCUAUCUCUGGGAGUAAUCUUUUUUGGGAGAUAAAACAUUUGCGGUUCCACUGUCCACCCAGACCUGGACAGUGGCUGUAAUUUUCUUUUAUUUUUUCUUUACCCUUGUGAAAUCAAGUACAAUGUGCAAGCCACUAACACAGUAGCUACAUCAUGCCAAUAAAAGUCAUGCCUUACAGUUUUUUUCUGUCAGCUGUUCCUCUGCCCAGAGGACUAUUUGCGAGGAAGUGUAAUGGGGCUUCUCUACUCUGAUUACAUUCAGCAGAAAGUGCUAUGAGAGAUACUGUAACAGCAUGGUAUGUAUCUUUGGUACAUAUGCACUUCCUGGUUUUGCUAAUAAAUGCUUAAUAAAUUGUCUGUAUGAGUAUGUCAAGUGCUUUUUUAGACUUUAUUUUCUUCCCUCCAAAUUGAAUAAAAAACUAAUUUUUCCCCUACAGCUAAAUUCUCUGACUUGUGUUCUAGACAUCUAAAUAAUAAGAUGAUAUAGAACAUGAAAGAAUAAACAGAAAGGUAGGGGGAAAACAUAUGCUAUGCUACAACAGUUUUAAUCUGAAAUGAACUAUAUUUCUAAGAUCGUUUUUAUCUUGCUAGACUGAAUUUUUCUUCAGCAGAAAAUUUAUGGCCAUGUGGUGGUUCAACACUAAAAGUCUGCUGGCAAUAUUCAUUACAUGCUUCUUGAUUCUAUAUCAAAAUCCUUACCUACCUUUCCAGCCGUUUCAUAUGGCUGUCCCUGGAUAGUCAACAAUAUGAACAAAUUGUCAUAUAUGCUAACAUAUUUUAAUCUCAAAGACAUUUAAGACGAAAAAAUUAAUCUGAAAAAUAUUAAAAGAAGUGAUUUUCCUUAAGAAUGUAGCUGAAUUGUUUUCAAAAAAGAAACCUUAUAAUCUGUAUUAAGUAUAUAGAAAUAUAUUAUUCUGAAAUAUGGGAAAAAUCUAAACUAAGCUGAUUAUCAUGUGAUUUGUCACAGUGGGUUUUACAGUAUUUUUUUUAAACCAAUCUGUAAUGUAAGGCAGUGUCACCUCUUUCAAAUGUAACAGAAAAUUAUUUUCUGGCCUUGAAGCAGUGGUGAAGACAAAGAUUGUCAAAUUAAAAUCUUUAAAAUUUAUUUGCCAUGGCAACUUUUAAAUGUACUUCUUGGUGCAUGCAGUAUAGGAGUAUUAAUUUUAAAAAUGCUAUGCAGUUUUUUUCUUCAUUUAACUUUAAAUUCUGCAGUCUGUAAUCAUCAAU
Molecule: long non-coding RNA, 7274 nt
Organism: Passer domesticus (house sparrow)
Lineage: Eukaryota; Metazoa; Chordata; Aves; Passeriformes; Passeridae
Exons: 3
Source: RefSeq, a predicted model, not a curated record